This 520-nucleotide ribosomal RNA is filed under the name uncultured Glomus. RNAcentral describes it as "SSU rRNA". It matches the Rfam family "Eukaryotic small subunit ribosomal RNA", at positions 569 to 1088 of the family's 1831-position model. Lineage: Eukaryota; Fungi; Glomeromycota; Glomeromycetes; Glomerales; Glomeraceae. The record is from RNAcentral.
AGCAGCCGCGGUAAUUCCAGCUCCAAUAGCGUAUAUUAAAGUUGUUGCAGUUAAAAAGCUCGUAGUUGAAUUUCGGGAUCAGUAGGUUGGUCAUGCCUUUGGUAUGUACUGGUCUCACUGAUUCCUCCUUCCUGAUGAACUGUAAUGCCAUUAAUUUGGUGUUGCAGGGAAACUGGACUGUUACUUUGAAAAAAUUUAGAGUGUUUAAAGCAAGCUAACGCUUGAAUACAUUAGCAUGGAAUAAUGAAAUAGGACGUUCGAUCCUAUUUUGUUGGUUUCUAGGAUUGACGUAAUGAUUAAUAGGGAUAGUUGGGGGGCAUUAGUAUUCAAUUGUCAGAGGUGAAAUUCUUGGAUUUAUUGAAGACUAACUACUGCGAAAGCAUUUGCCAAGGAUGUUUUCAUUAAUCAAGAACGAAAGUUAGGGGAUCGAAGACGAUCAGAUACCGUCGUAGUCUUAACCAUAAACUAUGCCGACUAGGGAUCGGAUGAUGUUAAUUUUUUAAUGACUCAUUCGGCGCCU